GACGUAGGUGGCAAGCGUUGUCCGGAUUUAUUGGGUUUAAAGGGUGCGUAGGCGGCUUUGUAAGUCAGUGGUGAAAUACUCUAGCUUAACUAGAGGGGUGCCAUUGAUACUGCGGAGCUUGAGUACAGAUGAGGUAGGCGGAAUUGACGGUGUAGCGGUGAAAUGCAUAGAUAUCGUCAAGAACACCGAUAGCGAAGGCAGCUUACUGGGCUGUAACUGACGCUGAUGCACGAAAGUGUGGGGAUCAAACAGG
This 253-nucleotide ribosomal RNA is filed under the name uncultured bacterium. RNAcentral's name for it is "partial 16S ribosomal RNA". It matches the Rfam family "Bacterial small subunit ribosomal RNA", at positions 524 to 776 of the family's 1533-position model. The record is from RNAcentral.